Molecule: ribosomal RNA, 252 nt
Filed under: uncultured bacterium
Lineage: Bacteria
Description: partial 16S ribosomal RNA
Rfam family: Bacterial small subunit ribosomal RNA
Source: RNAcentral
UACGUAGGUCCCGAGCGUUGUCCGGAUUUAUUGGGCGUAAAGCGAGCGCAGGUGGUUUAUUAAGUCUGGUGUAAAAGGCAGUGGCUCAACCAUUGUAUGCAUUGGAAACUGGUAGACUUGAGUGCAGGAGAGGAGAGUGGAAUUCCACGUGUAGCGGUGAAAUGCGUAGAUAUAUGGAGGAACGCCGGUGGCGAAAGCGGCUCUCUGGCCUGUAACUGACACUGAGGCUCGAAAGCGUGGGGAGCAAACAGG